Loxodonta africana (African savanna elephant) is the source of this 3839-nucleotide long non-coding RNA. RefSeq lists it as uncharacterized. The record is from RefSeq and is a predicted model, not a curated record. NCBI's taxonomy places the organism in Eukaryota, Metazoa, Chordata, Mammalia, Proboscidea, Elephantidae. The transcript has 5 exons.
AGAGUGAUGAAUAUUUAGUAAGCUUCUUUCAAGGGGUGGGUGCUUCUCAGAAUGGCGGUGCAUGUUAAUUAGGUUGCGGACACAUCUGGAAUCCAAGAUGUAACCCGCUGUUAUUCAAGAUGGAGUCUUCUGGCAGCUCUUGGCAUCACUUAUUAUGGGAUAUAGUGCAAGUGCACUGAUCUUUGGCACUACAUCGCCAUCUUCGGAGGUCUAAGGAAGGUUAAACAGUGCUCACACUUUGUUCUUCUGCGCAUGUGGGAGCCCGUAAAGUGGGAAAAAAAAAAAAAAGUGGGAAGGGACUAGAAAAACACUAAGAAGGAGAAAAUAAUUCACUGGUUGUUUCAACCUUAUCUCAUGUCGACAGGGUGUGGUUCCUGUUUACCCAACUUCUAGAUGGUAAUCUUUUAAGGGCUCUUUUCUUCAGCCAGCACAAGGGGACUGUGGAACCUCUCACCUGGCCCUUGGGAAGGCAGAUGUUGGCCCCUCCCUAAUCCUUCCCACCAGGACCUGAGCUCAGGAAGUCUCAGCCUCUCCCACAAGCCCUACCCCAGGCUGCCCCUCCCUCAUUGCCCUCCCCACAGAGUCCCUCCUCCUCCAGGAAGCCUCUCAGGCCUGACAGCUCUGGGCACUGGGCCCCCAGGGGAAGCUCUAGGGAUUAUAAGUGGUGUGUAGGCUUUCAGACCCUGGGGUGGGGCAUUGGACACAGGGGUCUGGACCUAAUGCUGUGUCUACACAACAAACUCAUGGUCCUCUUUUCAAGCACCUCAGAGGAACAAGGACAUUUUGUUACCACAAAACAUGGAUUCAAGCCACCUGCUGCAAAGCCGAUACUGAGACGGGGUGAGGGAAACCUCUGCGUUCUGAGCAAAAAGCAGAAAACAGGAGGGAGGAGAAAGGAACCGGCCACUCCUUUAAAGCCCCAUCCUGGGCCCUGGUCAGCAGUCUGAGGGAGACUUCCACUGAGGGGAGCUUAGAUUCCUUCCCAGGUGACAGAAGCCCUGCGGGGUGAGGAGGCAUCAGGAGCUGACACCAGGGGCAGCCAUCACAGUCCCAUCAGCCCUUCAGGGAUUCAGGAGGGGCCCAGGGAGAGCUGUGGCUUGAAGAGGGUGAAGGGCAGGACCUUUGCUCCUAGAGGAUGACAGCCAGGGGGCAAAGUACAGCAAGGUGGGGACUAGGUGCCCUCUGGAACCAACCAGAAGCAGAGGACAAGAGGGGUGAGCUCGUUACUCUGAGAAGAUGCCAGUGCCAAGUGGAAUUUCCGCUAGCUCCCUGAAUUUUGGUACCAUAGUCCUGGACGCCCUGGCUACAGGGUCUGCAGUAUGUCCUGCUGCAUGUGUGCUGGUUGAGGAUGUUGCUCUGGUUGCUGCAGGAACCUGCAUCCGGCAGAGAGAGAGACAGACGGAGAGCUGUUGCCAGAAGCUCCAUCUGCCAGCCAGAGAGAGAGAGAGAGAGAGAGCUGUUGUCCCUGAAGCCUGCAUCUGCCGGAGAGAGAGAGGGAGAGAGAGGGCUGUUGUUGCUGGAGUUUGUAUCUGCCAGAGAGAGACAGAGAGCUGUUGUUGCCAGAGUAGGCAUCUGCCAGAGACAGAGGGAGACAGAGACAGAAUGCUCUAGCACUGGAGAAGGUGCCAGAAGGUGAGAAGCUGGGGCAAGUGAGGCUGAGAAAUGGUGUAGCAGAACCAGGAGACCAGCCGGCACCAGAAGGUUCUAGACCAAAAAGGAAAAGAAGACAGCAUGAUGUUGACAGGAAUCAUCUCCCAUCAUUCCCCUACAGGGCCUGUUCACUUUCCUACAUGCUUUAAAAUUUCAGCUUGAGGUAAGUAAAUUUUUUUUAUCACAACUGAUUUUAUUUUAAAUGAGCAUAAAAUUUCUUUAUAAAUAAAGCUUUUUUUUUUUUGUCAAAUAGAGAAACUGUCUUACGUUGUCUGUGAAUGGGUGGAGUGCCCCAUGUUAAUGAUUUUUUUUUUCAUUGACGUUAGUUACAUUUAUCACAGUUUGUCAACAUUCUCUUUGUGUCUACACCUGUCCAUAUGUGCUCAGACAUUUUUACUUUGUUUGUGCUAUGCUCACUACAACCGCAUCGGUGUCGCUUUUCACAUCACCAAAAAUAACAAGCCUUACAACUGGACCAAUAAGAGACAUUACGAAAAACGGAGAAAAGAUUGAAGUUGUCAAGGGUUUCUUUUUACUUGGAUCCACUAUCAACACCCAUGGAAGCAGCAGUGAAGAAAUCAAAAGAUGGAUGGCAUUGGGCAAAUCUGCUGAAAAAGAUUUCUUAGAAGUGUUAAAAAGCAAAGAUGUCACCUUGAGGACUAAGCUGCGCCUGACCCAAGCCACAGUGUUUUCAUUCGCCUCAUAUGCAUGCGAAAGCUGGACAAUGAAUAAAGAAGACUGAGGAAGAAUUGACCUUUGAAUUAUGGUGUUGUAGAAGAAUAUUGAAUAUACCAUGGACUACCCAAAGAACGAACAAAUCUGUCUUGGGAGAAGUACGAUCAGAAUGUUCCUUAGAAGCAAGGAUGGCGAGUCUACUUCUCACAUACUUUGGACAAGUUGUCAGGAGAGAUCAGUCCCUGAAGAAGGACAUCAAACUCGGUGAAGUGGAGGGUCAGUGAAAAAGAGCAAGACUCUCAACAAGACGGAUUAACAUAGUGACUGCAAAAAUGGGCUCAAGCAUAACAAUGAUUGUGAGAAUGGUGCAGGACCAGGCAGUGUUUCAUUCUGUUGUACAUAGAGUCACUAUGAGUCUGAGCCAACUUGACAGCAACUAACAACACAUUCUAAAGUGAACUUUUCCCUCCCCCCUCUUCUACCUGGUAACCACCAAUGAACAUUGCUCUCUCUCUGUUUAUCUGUUCUUGUCUUCUCAUAAAAGAGGGCUCAUACAAAAUUUGUCUUUAUACUACUCAUCAGACAUGGAAGGGACUGGACAAUGGGCUGGAGAGAGAUGCUGAUGAAGAGUGAGCUACUUGUAUCAGGUGGACAUUUGAGACUGUAUUGGCAUCUCCUGUCCGGAGGGGAGAUGGGAGGAUAGAGAGGGUUAGAAACUGGCAAAAGGGUCAUGAAAGGAGAGACUGGAAGAAGGGAGGGGGCUGACUCAUUAGGGGGAGAGUAAAUGGGAGUAUGUAGUAAGGUGUAUAUAAGCUUACAUGUGACAGACUGAUUUGAUUUGUAAACUUUCACUUAAAAAAAAAUUAAAGCACAAUAAAAAUUAUUUUUAAAAAAUUUGUCUUUAUAUGCUUGACUUAUCUCACUUAGGAUUAUACUUUCAGGUCCAUUCAUGUUUCAUAGACUCAUCAUUGUUCUUUGUGGUUGUAUAGUAUUCCAUUGCAUGCAUGUUCCACAAUUUGCUUAUCCAUUCAUCUCUUGAUGGGCACUUUGGUUGUUUCUGGGUUUUUUUGCUAUUGUGAAUAAAGCUGCAACGAACAUAGAUGUGUAUAUGUCUGUUCGUGUCACUACUUUUAGGUCUCUAGGAUAUAUUUCUAGGAGUGGUAUUGCUGGACCGUAAAAACCAUAAGGUAGCUCUAUUUCUAGUUUUUUUUAGCAAGGGUCAUACCAUUCUCCAUAGUGGUCGUACCAUUUUAUAGUCCCAUCAGCAAUGGAUAAGUGUUCUAGUCUCCCCACAUCCUUGACAACAUCUGUCAUUUCCUGUUUUUUUUUUCAUUUUGUCGGAGUGAGGUGGUACUUCAUUACAGUUUUGAUUUGGAUCUCUCUGAUAGCUAAUGGAACUCUGGUAGCUCAGUAGUUAAGAGCACAUCUGCUAACCAAAAGGCUGGCACUUCGAAUCUACCAGACUCUCCUUGGAAACCCUACGGAGCAGUUCUACUCUGUCAUUAUGAGUCAGA